RNAcentral lists this long non-coding RNA (1318 nucleotides) under Mus musculus (house mouse). Its description in RNAcentral is "RIKEN cDNA 4933414I15 gene, transcript variant 1 (4933414I15Rik)". The record is from RNAcentral. Lineage: Eukaryota; Metazoa; Chordata; Mammalia; Rodentia; Muridae.
AGAGCUGCGUUGGCGUUGAUGGCUCCUGUGGCUUUGCCUCGCAACCGUGGGCAUCAAGGAAGGGGUGUGACCAGAUCUUCCACCUGGAUGACUCCCCCCGCCAAUGGUUCUAACACCACAGCAGGUCUGCCGGACAUUUACCUGCCUGGAAUUUUUAAAGUUUUUGAAGUAUCCAUCUGAGGUUUAUUUUCUCUGGGAAUAGUUGAUUUUAAAAAUCAUAAAAGAAAGGAGGAAAAAUACCAGCCAGAGGCUGUCACCAGACUAGGGAAGUGAUGCGACUGCUGUGAGGUCCCACCCUGUGGCUAUAACCUGCAGCGCCCUCAAUCACGUUCCGGACUUUUUUAGGCUUCUCACACUACCUUCCCAUCCCGUGUUCCAGAGACCUGAAAGCAAGUCAGCGACAGUGUCUCUCCCAUCUGUCCACUGGAUGCUGGCCAGUGAAACCAGACUGAUGGCACCUCGUCUAUCUGCCCUCUCACCCUCGCUUUGGACCAGGACUGAUCUGGAGAGCUCUGUGAGGGCGCUGCCUUGGGUCCCCGAGGAUAGAGACAGAGCACCUCCUCCCCGCUCCCAUGUAUGCAAAACCCACAAUUUGUCUCCAGAGUCACCUGUGAAAGUCUAUGCCACCAGAUUCCCUCUAUCUUAGCUGGUGCCCCAAACUUAGAUUGGGAGUUCAUGAGCGCAUGAACCAAGGCACUGCUAUUAACUACAACCAAAGGCUUGGAGGCAAGGGCAGGAAAGAAGAAGUAGUCUGGAAAGACGUCGUCAAACAACCGAAAUGAUGGAGAGUCCGCCCUUGCAGUUCAUAAGGCACUGCCCUGAAGACAAGAAAACCAAAGCACAGACCUUCUGGUCCUCGGGCUCCCAGACAGGAGAGGCAUCCUGACUGCUGGGGCCCCACUCCCUUUGGCUUAUAUUUGGAUGUUGUGGGGCGGCCUCCCUGCAGAAUCUUCAUCGCCCUUCAGACUCUUCCUUCCAGGCUCCUUCCACCCAUGUCACAGAGGGAAAAAGUCAAAACACAGAAUCACUCCCCCCUCGCUGCUGUGUACCACAUGAAGCCACCCAGGCUCACAGGAAGCCAACUUCAUCUGCCCUCUGGUUUAUGACCUUGCUGAGCUUCCACGGCAAAGUCAUGUGGAUCAUCACUUCUCAACCUUCCUUCCCAAGCAGAAACAGAGACUCUGGAUUCUCUAGCCCAAAGCCAAUGAGCUACUUCCUCAGUAAGCGAAUGGUCACAGACUGCAUCUCACUCCCUCCGUACGGUGGAAGAUGUCUCUUAAGUUCAUUUAGAUUCUCAAAUAUACGGCGCUUAAUUCAA